Zootoca vivipara (common lizard) is the source of this 6964-nucleotide non-coding RNA. NCBI's taxonomy places the organism in Eukaryota, Metazoa, Chordata, Lepidosauria, Squamata, Lacertidae. The record is from RefSeq and is a predicted model, not a curated record.
UCAUCACCCCGCGCCUUGCCGGCCUCCUCCUCCUCUCCUCAUACCCACCGAAGCCAAUACGUUAGUGGGCGCGCGCGAGAGAGCGAGCACCGGUGGCGGGAUGGGGCUGCCGGCUGUGGCUCCGGUGUUGAGGCGGAGGCUUCACAGAUUGAAGCCAUUCAACAGGUUACAGGUCAUUGUAGAACACUUGAGUAUGUCCAAGACGGCAGCUUCUUCCUCUGAGGUUCUCUUGGAAAAAAGGGGUUGUGCUGGUGUUAUAACCAUGAACAGACCCAAGGCUCUGAAUGCAUUAAAUAUAUCCAUGAUUCGACAGAUAUAUCCACAACUGAAGAAAUGGGAGAAGGACCCUGACACCUUUUUAAUAAUAAUAAAGGGAGCUGGAGACAAGGCUUUCUGUGCAGGAGGCGAUAUCAAAGCUAUUGCUGAAGCAGGAAGAGCGGGAGAAGCGCUGCCACAAUAUUUCUUCAGAGAAGAGUACGCCUUGAACAAUGCUGUCGGCACCUGCCAGAAGCCAUACGUGGCACUUAUUGAUGGAAUUACAAUGGGAGGUGGUGUCGGUGUGUCUGUUCAUGGGCAUUUCAGAGUCGCUACAGAGAAGACGGUUUUUGCAAUGCCAGAGACAGCCAUAGGUCUUAUUCCUGACGUAGGUGGAGGCUACUUCUUGCCAAGGCUUUCAGGGAAGCUAGGAUAUUUUCUUGCCAUGACUGGAUUCAGGUUGAAAGGAAAAGAUGUUCACAAAGCGGGAAUUGCUACUCACUUCAUAGAAGCAGAGAAGGUGGCUGCCCUAGAAAAGGAUUUGACAGAAUUAAAGUCCCCAUCGAAGGAAAAUGUUGCUGAUAUAUUGGAUUCGUAUCACAAGAAGUGCAAAGUUGAUCAAGAAAAAGAAUUCGUGCUUGGUGAGCACAUGGAGAAGAUUAACAGCUUAUUUUCAGCAAACAGCAUGGAAGAAAUUGUUCAGAACCUGAAGAAGGAUGGCUCCCCUUUUGCACUUAAACAGCUAGAGACCAUUACAAAAAUGUCUCCAACGUCGUUAAAGAUGACCUUGAGGCAGCUUAGAGAAGGAGCUUCCCUGAGCCUGCAGGAUGUGUUCACCAUGGAGUACAGGCUGAGCCAAGCUUGCAUGCGAGGCCAUGACUUCUAUGAAGGUGUCCGAGCAGUGAUAAUUGACAAAGAUCAGUCCCCAAAGUGGAAGCCAGCCGUUUUGGAAGAAGUAACAGAUGAAUAUUUGGACUCGUGCUUUAAGUCUCUUGGAAGCGGUGAUCUCAAAUUAUAAUAGAUUUGGACUAAUACUUUGCCUGUUUUAGUUCUAGCUUUUGCUUAAAGCAACUAAUGAAUAAUUUUGCAUCUGGCAUAUUUGGAUAACUGGCAUUGAGUGAAAUGCUCAUUGCUGUUAUGUCAAGUACUGGAGUCAAAUAUUGGUCUAGAGGGAAUUGUUGGGGCAGUGCUAUCCAGGGGUUAGCCAAAUAUCCUAGAGCUUUAUCACCUGUGUGUGUGCAUUUUUACUUUUCCAUGUAAAAUGAACAAGAUUGUUUCAUAUAAAGACUCUGAUAUCCUUGAAUCAACUAAAUGUUGGGUUGUUUUAAAAAUAUAUUUAUAUGCCAUUCUUUAACAUAUGUUUUAUAGUUGGCUUAUGAGAUAAAACAAGAAUUUAAAAUAAUCACAAUUACCUUUAUCAUAAUGUAUGGAAACUUAAUCAAUCCAGAUGGAUGAGCUGUGAUCCAAAAGACUUGAAGUGAACGAAAAGAGUGUUCUAACCAAGAUAUCUUUGCCACUGCUAACUAGUUUGUCCUGAUGAGUCAGGAGCUGAUUUGUUGCUGAAUGGACAGUACAUGUGAGAUACAUGAAAACCUAUGAUUGCAUUUUUGGGGGGCUAUUAGAUGUAUGACUUAAUUGAUUAAACCUGCUUGAAUAUUUACAUAAAAAUAAGAUCUGAUGGAAAACAUGUACUUCCUGUGUUUUUGUUGCUAGGUGUAUGGAGGAAAGUCUCCAACAGGUCUUGUCAACACCAACCAAUCACCUCAUUGAAUGGCCUCUAAUGUUGACUUAAAUGUCUCCAUCUUGAAUUAUUUUUAGGCCACCCUCCUGUCCAGCCACUUUAUGCUGAGUAUUGCUUGAAUCUCCCUUUGUUUUUAGCCAGGAAGAAUAAGUACACCUUGUGCUUCCUGUCUCAUUGUGGCACUGGCUCCAUUGCCUGAAUAGCUAAGAGAUGGUUGGUGGCUGUGCUUGUCUGGCUCACUGGACUAAUGAGUAUUGAUAAAUUUAUCUCUUGGCUGUCUGAAAAAUCCCAUGAGUAGUCAGAGGAAACGGCGUCAAUCACUCACCUGUCAGAUGUGCAGAAGCCUUGCCUCCUGGAGGCCCGGAGACCUGGCAUCAUGCAAACUGCUUUUUGGUUCCCUUCUGGAAUUUCAUGGGUGAGGAAUACCCCAAGUUGGACUGUGGCCAAGCAGAAGAGGGGAAUGUGGCUCACUGUUUGUGGUUCCAGCAUGAUUUGUAGAUGCUUGAGGAAUGUUGCUCAUCGUAUUGUGAUCACCCUUCUUAAUGCGCAGGAGUGCCUUCUGUUUGUCAUGUGUCUCCAGUAACAGCUCCAGUAGCCCCUCAAAGAGCUUCCACCUGCUGUGAGUUAGCAAGCCAUCUCUGUGGCAUUGAUGUCCCAGUUGCAAAGCCAGAUGUUACAUCUAGCCAAGAUGGUUGCUGCCAUAGCCCUGGCAUUGGACUUCACUGCAUCCCGCACAGCGUCUGCUUGGAAAGUUGCAGCAAUGGAGAAUUUCUUCACUUUUUAAAAGCUUGAUCCAGAAUCUCUAGGGAGAGACGGUGAGCAAAGUCCAUCACUGCAGGGCUUGCUGAAGACGGCAUCCCAGACUUUGUCUGAUAUUGGGAAGAUUUAUCUACAUUACCUCCACUAUAUUCGCUGACUUCACGGCUUCCAUCAUCUAGAAUAGUGUGUGGAAAGGGGCUUUUGGAUUUGAUACAGCCCAUGGUACAAUAACAGUAAAUGGAAGUUCAAAUUAGCUGCACGGUCAACCUUGAAGUACUGUCCUUCAGAGGGCUCAAGAAUGCCACUUUCUUGAAAGCCGAGAUGAGAAUAUGUCUCUCUCCCAAUAUCUGUGGAGAAAACAUUUUACAUGGUAGGGUUUAGAUAGGUUCUUGUUUUUGGGUUCUACUCUAAAAGCAGAUUUUUAAAAGACAGAUUUGCUAGAUAGAGUUUAAGAAAAAUAUAAUUUGUUUCUAUUUAGGCAAAUGGCAAUCACUUACAACAAAGGACUCUCUCCAAACACACACCCCAUUUAGGACAUAAAUACUAAAAAGUUUGGUUUCACAACUGUUACCCACAGUAGCAAUCUACUAGCUAAAUGUUAUUUUCAAGUUUAGCAUGAAUUGCUCAGCACACCUCAAAGGCUGGUUCUGGAUAUGAAUAUAGGAUUGUAUUCACUGUUAGCCCUACUCAGAAUAGACCCACUGAAAUUAAUGCCCAUUAAUUUAAAUGGCUCUACUCUUAGGAUUAGUGUUGAAUACCACCCAUGGGCAUAAUUUUAGCCUAACUGGGUUUAGACUGCUUUAGUACAGUGAGGGGGGAAAGUAUUUGAUCCCCUGCUAAAUUUGCCCAUUUGCCCCCUGACGAAGCAAUGACCAGUCCAUAAUUUUAAUGGUAGGUUUAUUGUAGCUGUGAGAGACAAAAUAACAACAGGAAAACCCCCAGAAACCUAGAAGACAAAAGUCAGAGAUUGAUGUGCAUUAUUAUAAUGAGUGAAAUAAGUAUUUGAUCCUCUAUCAACCAGCCAGAUGUCAGGCUACCUUGUAUCUUCACUGUAUGUAACGAGCUGAGAUUAGCAGAACCUGUUGUACGGGAGAGGUUUUACCUGUAAUCCCAGCCCGUUACAGUACCUGUACAAAAGACAUUUGUCGACAGAAGCAAUCCAGCAGAUUCCAAAGUAGCCACCAUGACCAAGACCAAAGAGCUGUCCAAGGAUGUCAGGGACAAGAUUGUAGACCUGCACAAGGCUGGACUGGGCUACAAGACUACUGCCAAGCAGCUUGGUGAGAAGGUGACAACAGAUGGUGUAGUAAUUCGCAAAUGGAAGAAACAUAAAAUAACUGUCAACCUCCCUCAGUCUGGGGCUUCAUGCAAGAGGCCUGUUCGUAACACGGAACUGACGUAAGCUGAAGUGUUGCGUCUGCGCACGCGCAAGCAGCAAAAUCCAGAAGUAACCCGUUCUGGUGCUUCCGGGUUUACGCGGGACGCAAGAUGAAAACACGCAACCUGAAGCGGACGCAACCUGAGGGAUGACUGCAAUCACAAAAGACUCAACAUCUCAAGUACUUUCAGAAACUUUAUGAAGCCACGUGAAAUUACUUUUGAGCACAACUUUUAAUGUUCAACAUUAAAGUGUGUGUUCGAAACAGCCAUAUGUGCUGCCACCUUACUGGUCCUUAAUCUCCUCUAAAUUUUUAUCCUUGUAAAGCAAAAAAGAAUUUCAUUUAGGCAGCUAAUUGCUCCCCCAGAAGACUUAAGAGGCAGAACAACCAACUAGGAGAUGACAGCACUAGCACUGCAAGUGCCAUUAGCAGCCACUAGCAUCCUGAAAAUACAGAAGGCUCAGCAGUGUCCAACACUACUACACAGUCGGGAUUUUGCAAGCCUCUGGCAAUGCUAGAAAAUCAAUGACCUCUUAUUAAAGGAGGGAUGAACCUCUGGCUUGAAUUUGGCCUGGUAGGGGGUCCUUAUUAUUAAUAUAGCUGCCAAGUCUCCCAUAUUCCCCAGGAAACCCCCGUUUUUCCAGCUGUCCCCAGCCGUAAAAAAUGUUUUUUUGUUUUCCCCCGGUUUAUUCUGGCGCGGCGGCCAUUUUGGAACUGGGCGGAGCAUGCUCAGAAGCGACUUUUGAUGCUGCUCUGCCCAGUUCCAAAAUGGCUGCAGCGUGACUUCUGGUGCGGCGGCCAUUUUGGAACUGGGCACAGCAGCAUCAAAAGUCACUUCUGAGCAUGCUCCGCCCAGUUCCAAAAUGGCGGCAGCGCUACUUCCGGCCUGGUCCCUUAUUAUUCAGGCAGGAACUUGGCAGGUAUGAUUAUUAUUAUUGAUUGGUAUGGAAAACAGGGCUUGCUUUUGAUGCUGAAUUCAAUGCAUGCACUGCUGGGAUUAGAUCCUCUUGGGAGUGGAUCCCUGCCAAAUGGGCCUUGCACUCAGCCAUAGAUUUAAAUUCUGUGCUGACUGGAAAACCUGCUUUUGGCAGUGAUCUUAGGAACUCUGACUUGAAAUCAAAUUAAAGCCAGGGCUGCAAAUGAAGAGUAGUGAGCACAAUCUGAUCCAACCCCCGGUUUAAAGGGUUGUAUCUAACUAAGUUCCCCCAGGCCUUUGGCUAAUUAAAUAAUCUAUGACAUUUUAAACGGGGUGGUGGUGGUGGUGGUGGUUUUAUAUUACUAUGUUAUGUUAUUUUUGCAUUUUUAAAUUGUAAACCACCAUGUGAUCCUUGGAUUAAGAUGGUAUAGAAAUUUAGUAAGUUUGUGGUGCUAAUGAACUUCCAUAUGGAUUUUAAGAACUGGCUGCAGUUUCUGUCAAGAAAGGAAAGGUGGAUGAAACAGGCUUCUACAUUCAUAGGAUGUACGUUAUUAGGAUCAAUGCAUUUUGAAUUGGGAACUUUUUCAGGGGCACUAUGCAGUUAAAAUAACAUAAAAUCCCCAACCAUUUAUAUUGCGUAGAGUUCUUGAAGAAGAUUCCAUUCUCAAAUGCAUUUGGCCUAAUAAAGCUAACAUCUGUGUACCUACAGGUUUCCAGUCAUCUUUUGCCUCCAUUGUCUGUCACACACACUUGUUCUACAACUAUAGCCAGAAUUUUAAAAGCUAACAACUGGUAUUUUAAACAUACAGUACAAUACUCAGCCCAGAAAGCUCAACAUCAGGUUUUAACACUUAACUGGAUACAAGCAGCUAUUGUCAUAUAUGUCCCAGAGAGUGAGAGCAGCAGAUGAUGGAAAGAUGGACAUCCAGUAAAAUUCAAUGAUCACCUUAACUUUGUCAGUUAAUUGUUAAUGAAACAUCCAAGUUCAGAAGUAUUUCAUGGUAGGUGUUAAAGGAAUUUCUUGGACAGAAGCUGCACCUGAAGAAAAGCUAUCCUUUACAUAUUCAACACUACAGAACAUUGAACGCUGUCUUAUGACAAGUCAGACCAUUUGUCCAACUGAGUGGCAAUGACUCUCCAGGGUUUCAGACAUGAGACAUUUGCAGCCCUGAUCCUCUGCAUGCAAAGCAGAUGCUCUAAGGCAGGCGUGGCAAACUUAUGACCCUCCAGAAACUACAUUUGAACUACAUUUCCCAUUAUCCUUGACACUGGUUAUGCUGGCUGAGGCUGAUGUGAGUUGUAGUCCAACAGCUGGUCACCAAUGUACUAAGGCAGGAUUUCCCAAACUUGGGUCCCCAUCUGUUUUUGGACUACAAUCCCCACCAUCCCUGACCUCUGGAUGUUGGAAGUUGCAGUCCCAAAAACAGCUGCAGACUCAAGUUUGGGAAAUCCUAUACUACAAUUUGGCUAAGAAAGAACUGACUCCACAUGCAAGCUGUAGGAAAGUCUAUCACUGUCCUGAUCAUAUAUAGGGAGGGUACUGUUUAAAAGCCACCAUGUGCAAAACCCCUAAUGCAUGCACUGCUUGUGCACCAGUCAUGCUCUCAGGACCUAUAGUGUUGAUGGAUGCACAGGUUUUUAAACAUGAAUGAGUCUUAUAUAUACUUUAUAAUAGAGACUUUUCUGUGGCAUAGAAAAAAUACAGUCUUAGCCAAUUUAAGACCAGGUGCAUUUGACAGCUAACAAGGGAAGCUUAUUAACGGAAUUUGCAGCAGUAGUUGUCAAAUCAAACUGUCAGUCCAUGUUCAAUAUUUUCUGACAUGUUUUCAGCCUCCUAAGGCAGAGUGGCUAAUCAGUGCACCUUCUACUUAUCAUACAGCAACUCCAGGAUUAGUAAAUUAACACAAGCCAAUU